Molecule: long non-coding RNA, 908 nt
Organism: Culex quinquefasciatus (southern house mosquito)
Lineage: Eukaryota; Metazoa; Arthropoda; Insecta; Diptera; Culicidae
Exons: 3
Source: RefSeq, a predicted model, not a curated record
ACCCGCGUGGUAUGGUGUUGUGAAAUCAACGAAUUUACAGCCCCAAACCAACCAACCACACACGGCCAACGCGGGGCGGUUCUGAUAAAACAAAACCGUAAAGUCAAGAUAAGCCCCGAAGGUUGGCUUCCCCACUUUUUAGGGUGUGGGUAGUGAAAAUUGAUUUUUUUUGUUUGUUUUUUUGUGUACUUUGCAGGGAUUAUGUCAAUUACGAGUUGGAGAAUAACGCCGUCAACCCUCAUAGAAAUUGCAAUUUCCGUCAACGAAAGCGUCCCAAGACGCCGUCCGAAUGGGCACUUGGCGCAAAUUUAUUUACCAACAAAUGGUUGAAAGAGAGUGCGCGGUUGUUGUUCUUUGCGCCAAACGAUCCCGCAGAGAUGCUAUCAUAAAUAAACAAAAUUGUGCGCCACAAAUAUAAAUACCGCGCUGUCUAAUUAGCAAAGUACUCUUAAACGCCAAACCCCGAUCUUCUGGGGAUCAUCUACUGCGGCGUGGACGCGGAACGAGAAGGUCGGCGGAACGGGUUCAAGGCCUGGGCAGAUGAUGCCGAUGACGAAAACUCUGCGUCGAUGGUGCUAAUUGGAAAAUAAUGCGAUGGCAAAUUUGUCGGAUUUUUUCCACCCCAAGAUGGUCACCUUCAAAAAUUUGCCACAACAUUCCUGUCCCCGUCAAAGCCCUGAUUUCGAGCGAGAUUUCUUCCGCUCGCGAUUCAAGAUGGACUGUCGUAGGCAGAGUUUUAAUUCAGGCGCACUCCUUGCCCGAAUCUGCAGCAUUUGUUGUUGUGCCGAGACCUGUGCCGCUAUCGAUUUUAUGCAAUCGAUUCUGGGCAGACAGGCGGCAUCGCCACUAGGAGAAAGGGCAGCUGAUUCUACCGACAACUGGGUCAGCGCAGCAACACUUACCAUUCA